Molecule: ribosomal RNA, 747 nt
Filed under: Gomphodella hirsuta
Lineage: Eukaryota; Metazoa; Arthropoda; Ostracoda; Podocopida; Limnocytheridae
Description: SSU rRNA
Rfam family: Eukaryotic small subunit ribosomal RNA
Source: RNAcentral
CUUCAAAUCCUUUAACGAGGAUCAAUUGGAGGGCAAGUCUGGUGCCAGCAGCCGCGGUAAUUCCAGCUCCAAUAGCGUAUAUUAAAGUUGCUGCGGUUAAAAAGCUCGUAGUUGGAUCUCAGUCUCGAUCGGACGGUCCAUUUCACGAUGGUACUGUCCGAAUCGGACAUUCCGCCGCCUUUCCUAACAUGCUCUUCAUUGAGUGUGGUGGGAGAGUGGUACGUUUACUUUGAAAAAAUUAGAGUGCUCAAAGCAGGCAAGUGCCUGAAUAGUCGUGCAUGGAAUGAUGGAAUAGGGCCUCGGUUCUAUUUUGUUGGUUUCCGGAACUCGAGGUAAUGAUUAAGAGGGACGGACGGGGGCAUUCGUAUUGCGACGUUAGAGGUGAAAUUCUUAGAUCGUCGCAAGACGAACUACUGCGAAAGCAUUUGCCAAGAAUGUUUUCAUUAAUCAAGAACGAAAGUCAGAGGUUCGAAGGCGAUCAGAUACCGCCCUAGUUCUGACCAUAAACGAUGCCAACUGGCGAUCCGUCGGUGUUAAUUCCAAUGACCCGGCGGGCAGCUUCCGGGAAACCAAAGUGUUUGAGUUCCGGGGGAAGUAUGGUUGCAAAGCUGGAACUUAAAGGAAUUGACGGAAGGGCACCACCAGGAGUGGAGCCUGUGGCUUAAUUUGACUCAACACGGGAAAUCUCACCAGGCCCGGACACCAGAAGGAUUGACAGAUUGAUAGCUCUUUCUUGAUUUGGUGGGU